CCCAGCAGCAAUUUUUUCUUCGUUUCUGCUUUUAUUCCUGCAGCAAAACAUCACAAACAACCAGUAUACGAAUCGAUGAUGAACGAACGGAUUUUACAUGAUAGAACUAGUCUAUUUACAGUAUAUAUCCAUCAUCACUCACUGAUUCACGAAAAAACAAACUCUAUUUCAACUUCUAAAAAAACUACUUAUUUGACAGGGUUCAUAGUAGUAGCAAACUAAUCUAACAAAUAAAACGGAGGACGCUUGCAGCGCACGCGCCGCCGGGAGGUGGUUGGCUCCGCGCUGCCGGGGAGGUCGAGAUCCGCGCCCCCAGCGCACAAGGGCCCGGGGAGGUGGAGGGCUCCGUUACCCUUCCAUGGCCACAGCUUGUCCACGAUGUAGACAAGGCCGUCGAGCGUGGGCGCAGAGGAGGGGAGGUCUCACAGCAGAAUGGAGGAAGAGGGUCCCGCGGCCGCCCGGCCCUGCUCGCCGUGCCGGCGCCCGCCGCUGGCCUUGCCUGCGUCGCCGCCCAGCCGCGCUCCGUCGCACCCGCCGCUGGCCUCGCCCGCGUCGCUGCCUAGCCGCGCUCCGCCACGGCCGCCGCUGGCCUCGCGUGUGAGAGGAUAAGGGAGACUGCGCGUGGGUUGGUGUGGACAGCGUUUGUGUGUGGGAGGUGGGGUGUUGGG
This 668-nucleotide ribosomal RNA is filed under the name Triticum aestivum (bread wheat). RNAcentral describes it as "partial small subunit ribosomal RNA". The record is from RNAcentral. Lineage: Eukaryota; Viridiplantae; Streptophyta; Magnoliopsida; Poales; Poaceae.